UUGCUUAGAUUCUUCGGAUGAAGAGGAUUGUGACUGAGCGGCGGACGGGUGAGUAACGCGUGGGUAACCUGCCUCAUACAGGGGGAUAACAGUUAGAAAUGACUGCUAAUACCGCAUAAGACCACAGCACCGCAUGGUGCGGGGGUAAAAACUCCGGUGGUAUGAGAUGGACCCGCGUCUGAUUAGCUAGUUGGUAAGGUAACGGCUUACCAAGGCGACGAUCAGUAGCCGACCUGAGAGGGUGACCGGCCACAUUGGGACUGAGACACGGCCCAAACUCCUACGGGAGGCAGCAGUGGGGAAUAUUGCACAAUGGGGGAAACCCUGAUGCAGCGACGCCGCGUGAGCGAAGAAGUAUUUCGGUAUGUAAAGCUCUAUCAGCAGGGAAGAAAAUGACGGUACCUGACUAAGAAGCACCGGCUAAAUACGUGCCAGCAGCCGCGGUAAUACGUAUGGUGCAAGCGUUAUCCGGAUUUACUGGGUGUAAAGGGAGCGUAGACGGAUGGGCAAAGUCUGAUGUGAAAACCCGGGGCUCAACCCCGGGACUGCAUUGGAAACUGUUCAUCUAGAGUGCUGGAGAGGUAAGUGGAAUUCUAGUGUAGCGGUGAAAUGC
RNAcentral lists this ribosomal RNA (613 nucleotides) under uncultured Lachnospiraceae bacterium. Its description in RNAcentral is "bacterial SSU rRNA". It matches the Rfam family "Bacterial small subunit ribosomal RNA", at positions 64 to 689 of the family's 1533-position model. The record is from RNAcentral. Lineage: Bacteria; Bacillati; Bacillota; Clostridia; Lachnospirales; Lachnospiraceae.